UGGGGAAUUUUGGACAAUGGGGGGCAACCCUGAUCCAGCAAUGCCGCGUGUGUGAAGAAGGCCUUCGGGUUGUAAAGCACUUUUGUCCGGGAAGAAAUCCCCUGCCCUAAUACGGCGGGGGGAUGACGGUACCGGAAGAAUAAGCACCGGCUAACUACGUGCCAGCAGCCGCGGUAAUACGUAGGGUGCGAGCGUUAAUCGGAAUUACUGGGCGUAAAGCGUGCGCAGGCGGUGAUGUAAGACCGAUGUGAAAUCCCCGGGGCUCAACCUGGGAACUGCAUUGGUGACUGCAUUGCUCGAGUAUGGCAGAGGGGGGUGGAAUUCCACGUGUAGCAGUGAAAUGCGUAGAGAUGUGGAGGAACACCGAUGGCGAAGGCAGCCCCCUGGGCCAAUACUGACGCUCAUGCACGAAAGCGUGGGGGAGCAAACAGGAUUAGAUACCCCUGGUAGUCCACGCCCUAAACGAUGUCAACUGGUUGUCGGGCCUUCAUUGGCUUGGUAACGUAGCUAACGCGUGAAGUUGACCGCCU
This 530-nucleotide ribosomal RNA is filed under the name uncultured bacterium. RNAcentral describes it as "partial 16S ribosomal RNA". It matches the Rfam family "Bacterial small subunit ribosomal RNA", at positions 355 to 874 of the family's 1533-position model. The record is from RNAcentral.